AUUGAACGCUAGCGGGAUGCCUUACACAUGCAAGUCGAACGGAGUGGCGAACGGGGGAGUAAUGUAUCGGAACGUGCCCAGUAGCGGGGGAUAACUACGCGAAAGCGUAGCUAAUACCGCAUACUAUUGGACGGGCCGAUAGCGGAUUAGCUAGUGGGGGGGGUAACGGCAAACCAAGGAGAAGAUCCGUAGCGGGUUUGAGAGGACGACCGGCCAACCUGGGACUGAGAAACGGCCCAGACACCUACGGUAGGCAGCAGGGGGGAAUGUUGGACAAGGGGGGAAACCCUGAUCCAGCCAUCCCGCGUGUGCGAUGAAGGCCUUCGGGUUGUAAAGCACUUUUGGCAGGAAAGCGGUACCUGCAGAAUAAGCACCGGCUAACUACGUGCCAGCAGCCGCGGUAAUAC
This 407-nucleotide ribosomal RNA is filed under the name uncultured bacterium. RNAcentral's name for it is "partial 16S ribosomal RNA". It matches the Rfam family "Bacterial small subunit ribosomal RNA", at positions 29 to 526 of the family's 1533-position model. The record is from RNAcentral.